This 2065-nucleotide long non-coding RNA is filed under the name Homo sapiens (human). RNAcentral describes it as "HSALNT0372528". The record is from RNAcentral. Lineage: Eukaryota; Metazoa; Chordata; Mammalia; Primates; Hominidae.
AUAAUAAAAGCAAAGGGGUUGUGUUAAGUGUUCUUGUAUUCAUCAGGCAGCAGGAUGAUCUCUUGUGGAGUAAAAUGUCAGGUGUUUUUUUUUUUAAGAAAUCGAUUUUUAGUUGUGACGUCAUUUGGCAGGCUGUCCACGGUAUCACUUUCUGCUUAUUUUUAAAAGGUCUGAUUUAAGCCGACGCUGUUCUACCCUGCCACUCCUAGCCAUAAAUUGGUACUGUGUGUAAGUUUUGCUUUUUGUUUGAUCUGAAGCAGCUUUUGUUUCUUUCCCUCAGAAGCGAUGUCCCCGUUAACUUUUGUUCAGUAAAGAGACAGUGUAAGAAAAGGUGGAACUGUGUUGCUGAUAACUUAUCAGGUCUUUUAUACCCUUUUGUGUCUUUUUAAGUUUGCUUCUGAUCCCUGAGUUUACCUUAUGUCAGGCAUGUGGAAGUAUAAGCACAGUUCAAAUAUGUUAUUGGAUAAGCGUGUAAUUGAAUAAGGAGUUGUAACCUAAAGUUAGAAAAAUCUAACUCAUAAAGAGUAUGGGAAUUCCUCCUUGUCUAUCAAAACAAGUUGGUUAAGUCAGAGGCAAGACGAAAGGCCCAGGUUUACAUUACAUGUAAAUUGUAUGUGCUUUUGCUAGUUUUCCUGCCACUUAGGUGGCUUACUUAACAUGCUUCAGUUAACUCACCUUUAAAAUGGGAGCAAUAAUAGUUAUCACGGGGUUGUUGUGUUCUUACAUUUGGACAUAUAGUUAGCUGUAACUAUAAGUUAUUUUUGUUAUGCAUCCCAAAAACUUGGUUUCUGUCCCCACCCCCCGCCCACCAACUUUUUCUUACAUAUCAAAACCUUAUAAUAAAAUCCAUGGAGACAUAGCAAUUUUGAACAGAAAGAACCUUUGAGAUUAUUUGGUCUGCUUCCCACAUUUUAACUGCCGUACGAAGAGGAGACAUGAACAGUUCUCAGUCUUUGGAGCCAGACAGAUUUGGGUCAGGUUCAAAUCCUUGGCACUCUACUAAGAUGUUUUAUAUAAAGUACAGCUUGUAAGGGCACCAGGCCUCCUGGAGUCAGACAUCAUGGGCUUGAAUCCUAGCUAUUCUUAUUUGUGAGCUGUGUGAUGUUGCGAUAAUUACUAAGCCUUUCUGUAUUCCAUCUCAUGGUGUUUAUGUAAUGAUGGAAACUAUAUGUAAAGCACUAAACAUAUAUAAACAUAAACAUAUAAAGUCUGUCAUCUUUGUCAAAUUCCUCUUUGCCCUCUGUUUCCUCGACUGUAAAAUGGAAGUAAUACCUAUUUUUGCUAGGAUUUUGGAAGGAUUAGAUAUAAAUAAAACAUGGUAUGGUGGUAUUUGAUAAAUUGUAGUAAUAGAAGUAAUAUCAUUCAGUGAAAGUCAGUACAAACUUUAAUCUUGUACUGCUGUGGAUGUGUUGUGUAGUCAUGGUGUAGCCCCCUUUUAUUUAAUCGAUUUGCCUUAAUUAUUCAGCACAACAGUUAUAAUAGAAUGAUCAUCUAAAAAUAGGAAUGCAUGGGGAAAUCACGCAGGGAGCAGAGACUUAUAAAAAGGCGCUGUUGUGUGAGGUUAUGAGGCCCAGAACCAUUACAACAACCUUACUAUCAUCCUGAAAAGGAAAUGACACAUGGAAGUGGAUAGAACUAAGAAAAUUAAGUUGGAGCCUAGGGCUGAAGUCAGUCUUGAGACCCACCCUACCUCUAGAUUUAAGUUAUGCCAGCCAUACAUUUCCUCACCACUUAAGCCAACUUGAAUUGGGGUUUCUGUUACUUGCUACCCAAAGCAAGUAACCUCCUCAGGAAGGUCUUUCAUGACCAUAUUACCUAAAGCACCUCCUGGUUCACUCUCUGUUGUUAUCCACUGAUUUCCUUCACAACAUGUACCACACUCUAUACUACAACAUAUAGCUGCAGUGAUCUUGGGGUGUGUGUGUGUGUGUGUGUGUGUGUGUGUGUUAGGUACUUCCCUUCUUUGAUUGUCUGACCCAGAGGGCAGUGAUUGUUUUUCUUCUUUAUAGUGCAUUAUAGAUGCUCAAUCAAUAUUUGUUGAAUAGUUGAAUGAAAAAACAAACUU